Molecule: transfer RNA, 77 nt
Filed under: Oscillospiraceae bacterium
Lineage: Bacteria; Bacillati; Bacillota; Clostridia; Eubacteriales; Oscillospiraceae
Description: tRNA-Val
Rfam family: tRNA
About the family: Transfer RNA (tRNA) molecules are approximately 80 nucleotides in length. Their secondary structure includes four short double-helical elements and three loops (D, anti-codon, and T loops).
Source: RNAcentral
GGACACAUAGCUCAGUUGGUUAGAGCACUUGCUUCACAUGUAAGAAGUCGGGGGUUCGAGUCCCUCUGUGUCUACCA